RNAcentral lists this ribosomal RNA (569 nucleotides) under uncultured fungus. Its description in RNAcentral is "eukaryotic LSU rRNA". It matches the Rfam family "Eukaryotic large subunit ribosomal RNA", at positions 62 to 648 of the family's 3401-position model. The record is from RNAcentral. Lineage: Eukaryota; Fungi.
AAACCAACAGGGAUUGCCUCAGUAACGGCGAGUGAAGCGGCAACAGCUCAAAUUUGAAAUCUCCCGCAAGGGCGAGUUGUAAUUUGUAGAGGAUGUUUCGGGCACCGUCGCGGGUUAAAUUUCUUGGAACAGAAUGUCAGAGAGGGUGAGAGUCCCGUCUUGGCCCGCGGUAGGACCCAUGCGAAACUCCUUCGACGAGUCGAGUUGUUUGGGAAUGCAGCUCUAAAUGGGUGGUAAAUUUCAUCUAAAGCUAAAUAUUGGCCAGAGACCGAUAGCGCACAAGUAGAGUGAUCGAAAGAUGAAAAGCACUUUGAAAAGAGAGUUAAACAGUAUGUGAAAUUGUUGAAAGGGAAGCGCUUGCAACCAGACUCGAGCUUCGGGGUUCCCCCUCGCCUCUGCGUGGGCUACUCCCCGUUGACCGGGCCAACAUCAGUUUUGGGGGUCGUUGAAAGGCUCUGGGAAUGUAUCCUCCUCUUCGGCGGUGGACUUAUAGCCCAGGGUGUCAUGCGGCCUCCCGGGACUGAGGAACGCGCUUCGGCGAGGAUGUUGGCGUAAUGGUUGUAAGCGAC